This 550-nucleotide long non-coding RNA is filed under the name Mytilus galloprovincialis (Mediterranean mussel). Lineage: Eukaryota; Metazoa; Mollusca; Bivalvia; Mytilida; Mytilidae. The record is from RNAcentral.
GUGUAUAUAAUGGUGUUGUGUUACGAUUGUUAAUUUAUUCUUUAUUUAUUUUUUUGGUGUGGAACUGUUCACAUACAAAAGUAUGGUUACCCUAUAAAGGGUGUAAAAAUCCAAAGAAGAAGAAAAAAAAGGUCACAAAUAACAACCACGGAGGAAGCGCUGCAUCAAAAAAGAAAAUUUGCACGUUUUUCAGAUUUCAAGAAUUUUAUGUAAAAUGCAGACGACAAAAAUAAAUGAAUGCUAAUGCAACAAGCUAUGAAGUUUUUAAAAAAUGAUAUUCUCUAUAACAUGCAAAAAUUCUUGCAUUCUUCCUAAUACAGUAUUUACAGAUGUAAUAUAGAAAUUAAGGACUUUCAUCAGCAACGUUAUAAAUGGACCUGUUAGAUUAUAUUAACACUCUGACUUUGUCUUCGGUAAAUAUAAUCUGAACAGGUCCAUAUAUAACAUAUUGACCUUGUCAAAAGUCCAUACUGUGGAUUCAUUAUUAUUCGUUGGAUACCAAUUUUUGUGGAUUUCGUGGGUACCGGGAAACCACGAAUUUAAAUAUUCA